Molecule: RNA transcript, 1700 nt
Organism: Panicum virgatum (switchgrass)
Lineage: Eukaryota; Viridiplantae; Streptophyta; Magnoliopsida; Poales; Poaceae
Exons: 5
Source: RefSeq, a predicted model, not a curated record
GCCACCGCCACUCCACUGCCCCCCUCCGCCGUCGCCGCCGCGGCGGCCGCUCGGGCCCUCGCCGCCCGACUAGCACUAGCAGCCACCCACCUCUCUCGCUUCGGGGCCUAGCCUAGAACCCUGGGCGACCGGCGGUGUCCCCCAUCCUCCCUGCUCGCUGCGGCGGCCGCUCGAGGGCCCGUCGCCAUGGCGGCGUUAGCGGCGCAGAUCCUGCGGCGGGGCCCCGUUCGCUCCUCCGCGCCUCUGGCCUCCACGAGUGGUUCGUGGGAUCGAAUGCUUGGCUCGGCUCCGUCGUCUCCUGCCGCCAUGUUGGUGUGUCCGUGCGGUGGGUCUGGACCGGAGGCGCGCGGCUGGAGCUGGUGGCGGUGCUUUCGCCAGCCCGUGAGGUGCGGGAGCACGGCGGUUAGGCUGGACACGGACGGUGGGUUCGCCAGGUUCGCGGUCGGCCACUCGGAAGGGGCGAAGCAGAAGGCGGGGCGGAUGCAGCAGCCGCCGAAGAAGAAGAAAAUGUCCAGGAAGGCCAAGGUCAAUCAGCUCAAGUGGUACCGUCUCAAGGCCAAGAAGAAGAUGAAGUCCCCCAAUCCCGAAGUUAGGAUCAGGUACAAGCUUGAAAAGGCUAAGAGAAAGGAGGAAUGGCUGAUUGAGAAGCUGAGGAAGUAUGAGGUCCCAAGGACACCGGAACCAGUUCAUGACCCUGAGAUUUUGACUGAGGAGGAGAAGUUUUACCUCAAGCGAACUGGAGAGAAGAAGAAGAACUAUGUUCCCGUUGGGAGGAGAGGGGUUUUUGGUGGUGUGGUUCUCAACAUGCACCUCCAUUGGAAGAAGCAUGAGACCGUGAAGGUGGUUUGCAAGCCCUGUCAGCCUGGCCAAGUGUAUGAGUAUGCCGAAGAACUAACAAGGCUCAGCAAAGGCACAGUCAUUGAUAUAAAACCUGAUAAUACCAUUAUAUUUUAUCGAGGGAAGAACUAUGUGCAGCCAAAGGUCAUGUCACCUCCUGAUACUCUUUCGAAGCAGAAGGCAUUGGAGAAAUAUAGGUAUGAACAAUCUCUUGAACAUACCAGCCAAUUUAUUGAGAAGCUGGAGAAGGAGCUUGAAGACUACCAGAAGCAUGUUGCUCUGUUUAAGAACCGUGAGGGAGCUACCUCUGUAGAUGAAGAGACCAAUGUUGAUGACUCAUAUUCUGAAUGAUCCAACUCUUUAAUAUGCUGGAUCCAUUUGAGAACCAUUAGGGAGCUAUACUGGAAAAAGCAGUGAAGGAGACAUACUUUUGUACAGUCUAUCUGUGUCUUCAUUGCUAGGAAGUUUUAAAAUAGGAGGACUUAUUCUUUUGGGGUUGACCUUGUAUGUAGUUUUUUCACAUCUCAAGCAUCCAUGGUACAUACCAAUGAAAUGGUAAUUUGGGAGCUUGAAGAGUGCUGGAGUUCCUUUUCAGAAAUCAUGACAUUUAUUGUGAUUGAAAAGGAUUGCAGUCUGCCAUGUUUUCAAAUCAUCUAGUCGAACCUAGUCGCCAUGGGACCGAUCAAACGACUAGUCGCGAUUAGUCGUCGAUCAGGCCGAUUAGUCGAGCUUAGUCGGUCCUAGUCGUCUGCCUAGUCGUCCUAUGUGUCCCAGGACCGAUAUGAUAUAUGUACUACAUAUUACUUAAUAAAAAGCAAGUAUGAAGGCAACAAUAAUAGUCGAUUUUUCACUUAUUUGUGAGA